Molecule: non-coding RNA, 92 nt
Filed under: bovine gut metagenome
Description: THF riboswitch
Rfam family: THF (Tetrahydrofolate) riboswitch aptamer
About the family: THF riboswitch presents a pseudoknot that joins P1-P2 and the loop of P3 and two THF binding.
Source: RNAcentral
CAGAGUAGAUGCCAAGCGUUAAGUGCCGAAAAAUGGGAAGUUGUUUUCGGACGAAGAGACCAUGUCUUGCGGUUUGGCAUCGCAUCCGCUGU